AUGACUAGUUUCUUGAAGUGAUCAUAUCUUUGUGUUUCAGGAGAUAUUCAUGCAUGUCAUUUAAUAAACAUUUCCCGUCGUAUGAUAAUCCCUAUGGCCUCUUGAAGUGGAAAGCCAUGGGUUUGACCUGCAUCAACUUUUACUAUAUCCUAUGACAUAUCAUAGAUGUGAAAAUUUUCUUUUAGGUCAUAAUUCAUCUAGUCACAGUGGCAACCAUUCAG
RNAcentral lists this unclassified non-coding RNA (221 nucleotides) under Hevea brasiliensis (rubber tree). Lineage: Eukaryota; Viridiplantae; Streptophyta; Magnoliopsida; Malpighiales; Euphorbiaceae. The record is from RNAcentral.